RNAcentral lists this long non-coding RNA (289 nucleotides) under Macaca nemestrina (pig-tailed macaque). Its description in RNAcentral is "lncRNA (ENSMNEG00000045808.1)". Lineage: Eukaryota; Metazoa; Chordata; Mammalia; Primates; Cercopithecidae. The record is from RNAcentral.
GUCCGCUGACAAAGCGCUGACCCACCCCGCUCACGGUCCGCUUACGCAGUCCGCGUGCGGCUCCAGGGAGCUGUCCGCCCCGGUGGUUCUGAACCAGGCGCCGCCGAAACGCUCCAGGAGUACCCAGGGAGCAAGAGAAGCCCUGAGACAGCAGCAAGGGACACUGUGGGGCUGCAGGUUUAAUUCUCAGGCCCAGAAAAACAACAACAGCAACAACAACAACAACACUUUCAAACUCCCCUACAUGGUAAUUCUCAGAGUGGAACAUACACAGACAUGCUCACAGUAG